AGAGUUUGAUCAUGGCUCAGGAUGAACGCUAGCUACAGGCUUAACACAUGCAAGUCGAGGGGAAACGACAUCGAAAGCUUGCUUUUGAUGGGCGUCGACCGGCGCACGGGUGAGUAACGCGUAUCCAACCUGCCCACCACUUGGGGAUAACCUUGCGAAAGUAAGACUAAUACCCAAUGACGUCUCUAGAAGACAUCUGAAAGAGAUUAAAGAUUUAUCGGUGAUGGAUGGGGAUGCGUCUGAUUAGCUUGUUGGCGGGGUAACGGCCGACCAAGGCGACGAUCAGUAGAGGUUCUGAGAGGAAGGUCCCCCACAUUGGAACUGAGACACGGUCCAAACUCCUACGGGGAGGCA
This 354-nucleotide ribosomal RNA is filed under the name uncultured bacterium. Its description in RNAcentral is "bacterial SSU rRNA". It matches the Rfam family "Bacterial small subunit ribosomal RNA", at positions 8 to 350 of the family's 1533-position model. The record is from RNAcentral.